RNAcentral lists this ribosomal RNA (251 nucleotides) under uncultured bacterium. RNAcentral's name for it is "partial 16S ribosomal RNA". It matches the Rfam family "Bacterial small subunit ribosomal RNA", at positions 524 to 776 of the family's 1533-position model. The record is from RNAcentral.
UACGUAGGGUGCGAGCGUUAAUCGGAAUUACUGGGCGUAAGCGUGCGCAGGCGGUGAUGUAAGACAGAUGUGAAAUCCCCGGGCUUAACCUGGGAACUGCAUUUGUGACUGCACGGCUAGAGUGCGGCAGAGGGGAUGGAAUUCCGCGUGUAGCAGUGAAAUGCGUAGAUAUGCGGAGGAACACCGAUGGCGAAGGCAAUCCCCUGGGCCUGCACUGACGCUCAUGCACGAAAGCGUGGGGAGCAAACAGG